UCUUAGCCCCGAUUGCAGCGACAUCCUUUUUUUGCGUUGGCUUGAAAAAAGCGUUGGCAAAAAAGAUAUAGCGGAAAGCGGGAUUUAGC
RNAcentral lists this small RNA (89 nucleotides) under Chryseobacterium balustinum. Its description in RNAcentral is "Flavo-1 RNA". It matches the Rfam family "Flavo-1 RNA". The record is from RNAcentral. Lineage: Bacteria; Pseudomonadati; Bacteroidota; Flavobacteriia; Flavobacteriales; Weeksellaceae.